This 501-nucleotide ribosomal RNA is filed under the name uncultured Bacillota bacterium. RNAcentral describes it as "bacterial SSU rRNA". It matches the Rfam family "Bacterial small subunit ribosomal RNA", at positions 8 to 522 of the family's 1533-position model. Lineage: Bacteria; Bacillati; Bacillota. The record is from RNAcentral.
AGAGUUUGAUCAUGGCUCAGGACGAACGCUGGCGGCGUGCCUAAUACAUGCAAGUCGAGCGGGGUUUAUGGGUAGCUUGCUACCGAUAAACCAAGCGGCGGACGGGUGAGUAACGCGUGGGCAACCUGCCCUCUAGCCUGGGAUAAUAGUGCGAAAGUGCUGCUAACACCGGAUAUGCUCACAGGGAGACAUCUCCCGGUGAGGAAAGUUUACACUAGAGGAUGGGCCCGCGUCCCAUUAGCUAGUUGGUGAGGUAACGGCCCACCAAGGCGACGAUGGGUAGCCGACCUGAGAGGGUGAUCGGCCACACUGGGACUGAGACACGGCCCAGACUCCUACGGGAGGCAGCAGUAGGGAAUUUUCCGCAAUGGGCGCAAGCCUGACGGAGCGACGCCGCGUGAGGGAUGAAGGUUUUCGGAUCGUAAACCUCUGUCUUCAGGGACGAUAAUGACGGUACCUGAGGAGGAAGCCACGGCUAACUACGUGCCAGCAGCCGCGGUA